RNAcentral lists this non-coding RNA (30 nucleotides) under Homo sapiens (human). The record is from RNAcentral. Lineage: Eukaryota; Metazoa; Chordata; Mammalia; Primates; Hominidae.
UCGGCCACGCUUCCUCCCUGAGCAAACACC